Molecule: long non-coding RNA, 455 nt
Filed under: Chinchilla lanigera (long-tailed chinchilla)
Lineage: Eukaryota; Metazoa; Chordata; Mammalia; Rodentia; Chinchillidae
Description: lncRNA (ENSCLAG00000023802.1)
Source: RNAcentral
GGCGAGCGCUGGGCACCCGCGGCGACGCCCUGCACCUGCGCGCAGCUGCUCCGCGGGCCGGCCGGGCCCUCCGUGUGCUCCGGGCGGGCGUGACUCCGGAGAUUUCUGCAGUUUUGCGUCCAACUAUUUCGAUUUUUCCGACCUACAACGGGCUAUUUAGAGGUUUUCUUUUUAAACUGUGAUCCACAUAUCCACCUCCUUUAGGAGUCUUUCUGGGGGACUUCUUUGGACUUAAGGUGAAAAUCAAUAAAGAUGUUUCAGAGUUGGUCAGCCGUUUUGGUUCUUGGGUUUAUUCUCCUGGAAUCAGAAGGAAGGCCAAUGAAAGAAGCAGCACAUGGCCUUAAAUUCUAUCAACCUCUAACAAGACUGCGACAUAAGCAGGAAAAAAGUCAAGAAAGCUCAAGAUUCAAAGACACUUCCUGGAGUGUUUUCCAAAUGUGACAGCAAACAGAAAA